GCUUAUAUUAUAUUAUAAGCGAGUGCAGAAUAUAAAUUAAUAUUUGUGUUGUCGCUCUUACGUUUUUCUGCUGACUCACUGGAUCUCCAGUCGACAAACGGAAUCCUAUUCGGUGACGGAAAUGCGUAAGCUCGUUAAGAAUACGAGUAAAUCUAGUAGUCAUUCUACAAAACGUCUUUACCAUAUAAACUAGAAUUAUAUAGGUCAAUAUCAGGUUAAUAUUUACUGUUGUUUCAGUAAGGUUUUGGAGAUUUGAUACUUCCGGCCCCCUCGUUCAGCGCCUGCUGUAGGUAUUCUGUAUUAGGUAUUCUGGGGGCGACAGCAACUCGUUUGCCAUCUCGCUCGUUUCGUGUUAAAAUUAUAUGCUGCAUCUGUAUCACCUAUCGUUACAGACACGGAAUAUCUUUCCAUCCAUUUCCAGCAAAAACAGUAAGGAGGAAUGCUUGGAUUUAGUGACAGAACCUGGACAAAUCUCCCUGGAUCACAGGAAAGAGCCAUUAUGUGGGGUUCACGUUAGCGGCAGACUGACCCAGGCUGACUCCAAAUACAGUCAUUUGCCUAGUUCUGGAUCACGUUUUUGAAAGUCCCACUAUCCGGUUGUUAAGACGUGACGCAACGCAUCAUGUGAUUUUCAACUUCCGGCUCCAAACAAAAAAGGCGCGCUGCUGCGGUUACAUGGACCAAAAGUAAUCUGAUUGAACAAUCAGAUUGAACAAUCAGAUCAAAAUCACGCCAUGUAAACAGCUCCAUCUGAUUAGAAUAGCCCAAUCCAAUCGAAAUUAUGAUCGGGUUAGAGGAGGUGGUGUAACCCUGUUUUAACCCGAUCGCGUUCCAUGUAAACGGCACAUCGGAUUGUCCGCCUGUGUGAAGCCUUAUUGCGCAUGUCUGUUACGUCACAUCACCACGUGACGCUUCCUGCUCUAUGUUCCCGGAAAUAAUACAGCUGGACUUACAAGAUCCGACACUCGUCAACUUUUUUAAAUAAUUUAAAAUAAGUGGAAAAGCUUGACGGACGUAAGUUGGCAGCAUAGACUUGUUGUGUCCCGAGUCAGCAGGUCAGUAGAGCAAAUUAAAAACCGCUGGGAAGCAACGAGCGCUUUGUACAAGCAGCUAAAAACGAGCAGAAGCGGCGUGGCUCCAACCAGCUUCACUUAUUAUGUAUUAAUGGAGUAAUAAUCGGAGGUCGACUGCUUUCCAAGGAGCACACUGGAGUAGAAGUCGGUUUUCCACCCGAGGAAAGUUCACCGAAGACACCGGAAAGCCUGGAGAUGAUGAUGGAAACAGCACGUCGGAGGAGAUUGAUGACAGCAGCUUAACAACCUGAAGACCACACAGAGGAGGCUCCAGACAAAAAAAAUCGAAAGUCAUCAUCUGGUGAUGCCAAGCUCCUGAGUGAUCGGUCAGCCCAGCAGAGAUCUUUCCUGGACAGUAUACAACAGCAGCACGAGAGGAAUCUGGAAAGAGAAGAGAGGCUUCGUUCCAGGUUUAUGGAAGAAAGUACCCGCUCAACUGAAAGCAUUAUAGGGCAAUUGUUUGAUGGUCUUCAGGCUCUCCUUUCUCAAUCCUACUCAUCAGCUCCACAUUUACAUGAACAAAAUUAGUCUGGGACCUCGCUGAGACAAGCAUGUAACAGCCCGAAAAUGACCACUCAUCCCAAGUGUUACUUCAAAUACAGCUGGAUUUUCUAAACUGCAGCAGCUGAAGGUUUUCCAAGGUACUUGGUAUGCUCAGAAUGACCAGUACAUGUUUAGAAGGGUCAUAGAGUGUAAAAUUUCAAAUUUUUAUAUUUUACGAAAAAAACAUCAGGUCAAAUGACCUACAUACAGUCUGGAAUUGCCACAUAUUUAAUAUCUUAAACUUUCUGUUGUGGAUGUUCCCUGAUAAUCUUUAAAACAUUUAAGAUCUCUAGAUAGUGCUGUCUGCCAAAGAUACAAAGUUUUUGUAUUUUCACUUUAAAUGCAUAUUCCAUUGAUAACAG
Molecule: long non-coding RNA, 1978 nt
Organism: Thalassophryne amazonica
Lineage: Eukaryota; Metazoa; Chordata; Actinopteri; Batrachoidiformes; Batrachoididae
Exons: 3
Source: RefSeq, a predicted model, not a curated record